RNAcentral lists this non-coding RNA (100 nucleotides) under Strombidium inclinatum. Lineage: Eukaryota; Ciliophora; Spirotrichea; Strombidiidae. The record is from RNAcentral.
CGCCCGCCCCCCUAUGUCCCGGAGAAGUCCGCAAGGAUCCCGGCGAGCAGCGGAACGACGGCGGAUUGUAAGGUGUGGGGGGAAUGGGGCAGGCUGGAAA